This 460-nucleotide ribosomal RNA is filed under the name uncultured Pelotomaculum sp. RNAcentral's name for it is "bacterial SSU rRNA". It matches the Rfam family "Bacterial small subunit ribosomal RNA", at positions 923 to 1382 of the family's 1533-position model. The record is from RNAcentral. Lineage: Bacteria; Bacillati; Bacillota; Clostridia; Eubacteriales; Desulfotomaculaceae.
GCACAAGCGGUGGAGCAUUGUGGUUUAAUUCGAAGCAACGCGAAGAACCUUACCAGGUCUUGACAUCCCGAUGCUAUUUCUAGAGAUAGAAAGUUACUUCGGUACAUCGGUGACAGGUGGUGCAUGGUUGUCGUCAGCUCGUGUCGUGAGAUGUUGGGUUAAGUCCCGCAACGAGCGCAACCCCUACGUUUAGUUGCUAACGCGUGAAGGCGAGCACUCUAGACGAACUGCCGUUGACAAAACGGAGGAAGGUGGGAUGACGUCAAAUCAUCAUGCCCCUUAUGUUCUGGGCUACACACGUGCUACAAUGGCCGGUACAGACGGACGCAAAGCCGCGAGGUGGAGCAAAUCCUAAAAAGCCGGUCUCAGUUCGGAUUGCAGGCUGCAAUUCGCCUGCAUGAAGUCGGAAUCGCUAGUAAUCGCAGGUCAGCAUACUGCGGUGAAUACGUUCCCGGGCCUU